This 73-nucleotide transfer RNA is filed under the name Ixodes scapularis (black-legged tick). RNAcentral describes it as "tRNA-Ser". Lineage: Eukaryota; Metazoa; Arthropoda; Arachnida; Ixodida; Ixodidae. The record is from RNAcentral.
CCCUGGCUAGCUCAGUUGGUAGAGCGCUCCAUGGGAAAUAGAGUGGUCUCGGGUUCGAUAAUCGGACCAGGCG